RNAcentral lists this ribosomal RNA (253 nucleotides) under uncultured bacterium. RNAcentral describes it as "partial 16S ribosomal RNA". It matches the Rfam family "Bacterial small subunit ribosomal RNA", at positions 524 to 776 of the family's 1533-position model. The record is from RNAcentral.
UACAGAGGUCUCAAGCGUUGUUCGGAUUCAUUGGGCGUAAAGGGUGUGUAGGUGGCGCGCUAAGUCGGGUGUGAAAUUUCGGAGCUUAACUCCGAAACUGCAUUCGAUACUGGCAUGCUUGAGGACUGGAGAGGAGACUGGAAUUCAUGGUGUAGCAGUGAAAUGCGUAGAGAUCAUGAGGAAGACCAGUGGCGAAGGCGGGUCUCUGGACAGUUCCUGACACUGAGACACGAAGGCCAGGGGAGCAAACGGG